Molecule: unclassified non-coding RNA, 387 nt
Filed under: soil metagenome
Description: partial contains 5.8S ribosomal RNA, internal transcribed spacer 2, and large subunit ribosomal RNA
Rfam family: 5.8S ribosomal RNA (bases 1-120)
Source: RNAcentral
GAUGAAGAACGUAGCGAAAUGCGAUAAGUAAUGUGAAUUGCAGAAUUCAGUGAAUCUUCGAAUCUUUGAACGCACCUUGCACCCUUUGGCAUUCCGAAGGGUAUGCUCGUUUGAGUGUCAUUGUACUCUCACACUCUCCGAUCCUAUGGAUUCGGGGAGCGGUGGACUUGGGUGUUGCUGCCUUUCCUUGUGGCUCACCUCAAAUGUGUCAGUGCACCUCUUGGUUGGACAUAGUACGGCGUGAUAAGUGUCUUCGCCGGCACCUCGCAAGAGGGUGGCCGAUCGGGAGCUCUGUGCUUUCAAACCGUCUUCGGACAAUUUCUGACAACUUGACCUCAAAUCGAGUAGGACUACCCGCUGAACUUAAGCAUAUCAAUAAGCGGAGGA